Molecule: ribosomal RNA, 281 nt
Filed under: uncultured bacterium
Lineage: Bacteria
Description: partial 16S ribosomal RNA
Rfam family: Bacterial small subunit ribosomal RNA
Source: RNAcentral
GUAUGCCUACGGGGGGCAGCAGUAAGGGAUAUUGGUCAAUGGGGGAAACCCUGAACCAGCAACGCCGCGUGAGGGAAGACGGUUUUCGGAUUGUAAACCUCUGUCCUCUGUGAAGAUGAUGACGGUAGCAGAGGAGGAAGCUCCGGCUAACUACGUGCCAGCAGCCGCGGUAAUACGUAGGGAGCGAGCGUUGUCCGGAUUUACUGGGUGUAAAGGGAGCGUAGGCGGGAGGGUAAGUUGAAUGUGAAAUCUAUGGGCUCAACCCAUAGCUGAGUUCAAAA